AUGGCAGAUGCAUCCAGCGACAAGCAAGGAACUUCACCGGCAAGCUCUGGUCCCGACAAAGAUGGAUCUGCGCAGAGGCGUGAGAAGAUGCAGAAAAGAAUGGUGCAGCGCCCAGUUUACUUUGUCAGUUCCCUUCUGCAGGGAGCUAGAUCAAGGUACUCUGGUGUGCAGAAGUUGCUUUUUGCCCUUCUCAUGGCCUCGAGAAAGCUGCGCCAUUACUUCCAAGCACAUGAGAUCACAGUCGUCACUCGUUUUCCGCUGAAGAGGAUACUGCAAAAUCCCGAAGCAACAGGCAGGAUUGUCGAGUGGGCGCUGGAACUGUCAAGCUUUGGCCUCAAGUUUGAAAGCACUUCAACUAUCCAAAGCAGAUCAUUGGCAGAGUUCAUAGCAGAGUGG
RNAcentral lists this ribosomal RNA (396 nucleotides) under Triticum aestivum (bread wheat). RNAcentral describes it as "partial small subunit ribosomal RNA". Lineage: Eukaryota; Viridiplantae; Streptophyta; Magnoliopsida; Poales; Poaceae. The record is from RNAcentral.